GCUGGCAUAGCUCAAUUGGUAGAGCAACUGACUUGUAAUCAGUAGGUUGUGGGUUCAAUUCCUACUGCCAGCA
Transfer RNA from Clostridium acetobutylicum ATCC 824, 73 nucleotides. It matches the Rfam family "tRNA". From Rfam's summary of the family: Transfer RNA (tRNA) molecules are approximately 80 nucleotides in length. Their secondary structure includes four short double-helical elements and three loops (D, anti-codon, and T loops). Further hydrogen bonds mediate the characteristic L-shaped molecular structure. tRNAs have two regions of fundamental functional importance: the anti-codon, which is responsible for specific mRNA codon recognition, and the 3' end, to which the tRNAs corresponding amino acid is attached (by aminoacyl-tRNA synthetases). tRNAs cope with the degeneracy of the genetic code in two manners: having more than one tRNA (with a specific anti-codon) for a particular amino acid; and 'wobble' base-pairing, i.e. permitting non-standard base-pairing at the 3rd anti-codon position. Lineage: Bacteria; Bacillati; Bacillota; Clostridia; Eubacteriales; Clostridiaceae. The record is from Rfam.